This is a non-coding RNA of Chaetura pelagica (chimney swift), 47 nucleotides long. Lineage: Eukaryota; Metazoa; Chordata; Aves; Apodiformes; Apodidae. The record is from Rfam.
CCAAAGGCUCUUUUAAGAGCCACCACAUCGGCACUAAAGAGCUGUUU